UAGUAAUACAAGGCAGACGGCUCAGUAACACGUAGUCAACCUACCCUAUGGACGAGAAUAAUCUCGGGAAACUGAGCAUAAUUCUUGAUAGAUCAUAAUGCCUGGAAUGGUUUAUGGUUAAAAUGAUUCGUCGCCAUAGGAUGGGACUGCGGCCUAUCAGCUUGUUGGUGAGGUAAUGGCCCACCAAGGCGAUUACAGGUACGGGCUCUGAGAGGAGAAGCCCGGAGAUGGGUACUGAGACACGGACCCAGGCCCUAUGGGGCGCAGCAGGCGAGAAAACUUUGCAAUGUGCGAAAGCACGACAAGGUUAAUCCGAGUGGUUUCUGCUAAAGAAAUCUUUUGCCAGUCGUAAAACCGCUGGUGAAUAAGGGGUGGGCAAGUUCUGGUGUC
This 390-nucleotide ribosomal RNA is filed under the name uncultured archaeon. Its description in RNAcentral is "bacterial SSU rRNA". It matches the Rfam family "Archaeal small subunit ribosomal RNA", at positions 69 to 459 of the family's 1478-position model. The record is from RNAcentral.